Oncorhynchus mykiss (rainbow trout) is the source of this 3975-nucleotide non-coding RNA. NCBI's taxonomy places the organism in Eukaryota, Metazoa, Chordata, Actinopteri, Salmoniformes, Salmonidae. The record is from RefSeq and is a predicted model, not a curated record.
UAUUUUACUGGGUGACUCACUUACUUGAGUAACUUUCUAUUAAGGUAUCUAUAUUAUUUUACUCAAGUACGCCAAUUGGGUACUUUUUCCACCACCGUGCACACACACACACACACACACACACACAGAGAGCGAAAGAAAGAGAGAGAGAUAUACUUUUUAUGGCGCCCUCUCACCUCAUAACCCUUGCAAAUAAGAACAGCGCAAUAGUCAACUAUCAUUGGUGCGCUUAUCCCAUGCCGCUAGUGGAGGUGUUCGCUGUUCGUGUUCAGGUGAGCGCGUACAGUUAGUUUUACAGUCCUUAUUCCGCUACUUUCAUGAUCCACAGAGAGGAGGAGGAGGAGGACCUGGGACACAGUUGGCCCAUCGUGGUAUACCUUCCCGCAAUCCGGGGAAGAGCACGGACGGAGGGGAGGCUGGACAGGGAGAGGACGAGGCAUCAGAGGACGAAAACACGGAGAGCGGACACAGCCGACGCCAACGCGACAUGGAGAUGACAACCCGAAAUUUGCACCUCAACUCCAAAGUUGACAAUUGCGAUGGAGUGAUCAACAGAAACGGCGGUGACAUGACUGAGAUAUCUGUACCGCUGUCCCACCCUGGGAAGCGUAUGCCUCAAAUCGAGGGGGGCAAUCUUUAUAGAUUGCGAGAUAGAAAGGUUUUAUUGGAGGACAAAAAGCGUCUGUGCGCUUGGGCUCUGGGCACCGCGCUGCUUGGGACACUGCUCAUGAUACUGCACGCGGAGCUGUGCCCGUUGAUUUACCAACCAGGCUCCCGCUAUGCCUUUAUCAUCAACUGCUCCAUCAGCAUGUCCACUGGGUGUCUUCUGAUUCUCAUCGUAGCCUUCCAUUAUAAGGACAUCAGGCUCUUCAUCAUUGACCACAACCAGGUGGACUGGCGCAUCGCCAUGACAAGCCGCAGGGUGCUGGGCAUCUCCCUGGAGCUGCUGGUCUGUGCCAUCCAUCCCGUGGGCACCUACUGGGAGGUGGGUGUCCCUGCGCCCAUCGCCAGGGAGGGGGUAGAGGUCAACUCCUCCAACUCGGCGCCGCUGUGUGUGUCCUCCCGCCACGGGGAGGCGCUGUUGGACACAGAGCUGCUACUGUCGGCACUGAUGUUCCUCAGGCUGUACCUGGUCCACAGGACGAUCCUACUGCACAGCAAGGUGCUGCUCAGUGCCUCCUAUAGGAGUAUCGGCUCGCUCAACAACAUCAACUUCACGUUCCGCUUCGUGCUCAAGGUGCUGAUGAACAAGUACCCGGCGCGCACGCUGAUGGUGUUCAUCUUCUUGUUCUGGCUCAUCGCCUCCUGGAUGCUCACGCUUUGUGAGAGGCAGACACAGGAGCAGACUGGUCGUAUGGACACGGCUCUCUGGCUCAUUGCCAUCACCUUCCUCACAGUGGGAUACGGGGACGUGUCCCCCAAAACCAGCUGUGGAAAAGUGGUGUGCCUCUUCACCGGAGUCAUGGUAACUAUAUGGAGUCAUGGGUGUGGCCUGUACCGCCAUGCUGGUGGCCGUCAUGACCAAGAAGCUGGCGCUGAACAAAGGAGAGAAACAUGUGCACUUCUUCAUGAUGGACAUCCAGAUCUCCAAACGGAUCCGCCAUGCUGCUGCCAACGUGCUGAGGGAGUGUUGGCUGCUGCACCGCACCAACCUGACCAAGGGCAACAGUGGAGAGCACCGCAGACACCAGAGGUGCCUACUGGAGGCCAUCAGAGUAUUCCGGCACCUGCGCCUUAAACAAAGGAAGCUGAGAGAUUACGCCAGUGAGAUGGUCGACCUGCCCAAGAUGCAGAUGAUUAUGUGCGACUUGAGUGCCAACUGGAACAACUCUUACCGGGAGCUGGAGCAGCGCAUCAUCUCCAUGGAGCAGAAGUUAGAUGAGCUGGGCCACUGCUUCCAACAGACCUCUGAGCUGCUGGCACAGGCCCUGCGCUACCGCAACCCUGAAAUCAGGUGACUCGUGGCUGUGUGGUUGGGUGAACCACACUCGCUGCAGGCCUUUCCCAAAGACUAAAGAUGGAUGCUACCAGCCUUCUGUAAUUUCCAUCAGACUGGGAUGGGAAUCCUCUUCCCCCCCAAAGCUGCAUUUAACAUUUGACCUGCGGCACCACUUGGACUACUGCCAGGACCAAGGCUGGCAUCGUCUUCUGACCCAGCGGCUGAAUGGACCCUACACAAAGACUCGUACUUGUAAAGACAAAAAAGAAAAAGGACUUCAUUUUACUACAGCGGGGUCUGAUAUAGAUGACUGGUGUAUUUUUAUCAGAUGUGUUUAAUGUACAAAGUAUUGCGUUAACAAUCUCAAGAACUCCAGUAACACGGCCUCUGGUUCUGUAGUUUGUGUCAUCUCAGAGGGAGGGGCUCUAUGGGUUCACCCACUGAUGGCUCUGUAAAGUAUGUCCCCUAACUCCUGCUAUUAGUAUUACAAGUUACAUUGGAGGCUCCUAAACAUAAUGACUGGUUCCUAUGGAACAAGAGGUUUAAACAGCGUUUUUAAAUGUGAGGGACAUUUCUUUGAAUGCCACUCAGUAUUGACAGCCUUCCUCAAAGCGUCUUUCAAUUAUACAUUUUUCCACAAGUAAAACACAAUGGUUAUUCCACACAUUUUUCCUAACAGGAAGUAUAAAGCGGUGACAUCCUCAGAGGCACCAGUGUAUGAGACAACUGCCUUAUUACUAGAGAGAGCUGCUGGUCUCUUAUAAAAUACACAUCUCUGUUCUCUAACUGUUCUAAUCCUCUCCAUUUUGUUAGAUUAGGAAAUAAAACAAUUUCUCUUCACACGGCCUCAGUCAGAGGGAUAAACUGCUAGUCAGUUGCCAUGACUCAACACUCAAACACUCCCUAAGGUACUGUGGAGUUACCAAAGUAGACUUUCGCAUAAAGAACUAAUCUAGACGGUUAAGGCCUGACAUAUAUUGUUGUCUUAAGGAUGAUUGUAUGGGGAAGCAGUCAGUUUACAUAGUUAAGCUGUUCUCAUAAAGAUCAAGAGACAAGUGGCAUAGCCUAAUAAAGUACGCAGGCUGAUAUUUAUUGGGACGACUCAUGUACUGGAGGCAGCUCUGCAGAGUGGUCACUAUCUGGGACAGCCACAGUCAUAAAAUCUGAUUUCAAACCUAACCACACUGCUAAACAUGCCUAACCAAAUUUUUGUUUUCAUGAAUUUUUACAAUAUAGCAAUUUCGACUUUGCAGCUGCCCCAUCUAGGGGAAAACCGCUCAGUUCUGCCUCCAGGGCAAGACUCACGACAAUAAACGUCAACCUGCAUAAAGUACAUGGAGACAUUACUCACUGUUAUUCUAAUUCUGAUGUGACAGCUCCCCCCAGAGGAUAUGUACAUGCAUGACAAUCACACACCAGUCAUAGACAUGAAUGAAUGUCAAACGACAUCAUAUUCUUGGGUCUCUGUGGCAGCCUAUGGGUAAUACAUCAUCACAAUCUGAAUACUUUUGAAAUCUUUUACCAAACAAUACUUGUGUGACAUGGAUUGUUUUGGACUAGUAACAGCCAAAUUAUACUUACUACACAGGUAGUAUUACAAGUGGCCAGUCUUUAAAUGAGGGUGCAUUUUUAGAACACAGCUGUCAAUACAUGUUGCACUCAAGUGUGAAUGGGGAAAUAUGGGUCAGUGGCACAGCAUUGUCUUAUUUGCAUAAUUUAUGUUAUUCACUUUGUGAAUCAACAAAUUGUACUUGUUCUCCAGCCCCAAUGGUAAGGCUGGUAAUCUGGGGCAUUACUAAAUCAAGCACCUUGUGGGGACAACUAUUCCCAUGGUUGUAUUUAAACUGGACUUCUGCAUUUUCAUUAACUGGAGUGAAGAUAUGUAAUUCUUAAAAAUAUAUAUUUUGUUUUUUUAGAUUCUGCAAAAACAAUGUGAAGUGAAACGUUUAUAGGUUUUCUUUUGCCCAUGAUAAAACCAUGCAUUGUAAAUACAUUUUCUGGUCUUCCUGACAAUUAAAAGCCAUUGGUGAUUGGAA